This 6832-nucleotide long non-coding RNA is filed under the name Nicotiana tabacum (common tobacco). Its description in RNAcentral is "long non-coding RNA (NTAB_LNC005389)". Lineage: Eukaryota; Viridiplantae; Streptophyta; Magnoliopsida; Solanales; Solanaceae. The record is from RNAcentral.
AAAUAAAAUAUAAUGGAAUACUAAAUAUUGGACGACCUGACAUGACAUGGAAACUUAUACAUGUGACAUACGUGCUUAUAAAACCAAAGUGAUAACUCAUACACUGAACAUAGGCCGAUAAGGCCAUAAGAUUUUCAUAUACAUGACAUAUGCCUACAAGCCUCUAAGAGUACAUAAAAUCAUAAAGGUUGGGACAGGGCCCCACCAUAUCAAUCAAUACAUAUCCAAAGCAUACUGACCAAAUAGGCAACUCCGGAGCAAGUGGAGUGCACCAACACCUCCGCUGAGCUGAUAGCCUACUAGGAGGAAUGUCAACCUAUAAAUUGGGACCUGCGGGCAUGAAACGCAGCGUCCCAGGCAAAAGGGACGUCAGUACAAAUAAAGUACCGAGUAUGUAAGGCAUGAAACAUAAACAAGAAUAGUAAUAUAAAGAGAGAUAGAGGAGAUACAACCUGUAACAUCUGCGUGCCUCUGUGGGCUACUGACAUGAAAUGCAUAAUACAUAUACACAUAAACUUUUAAAAACAUACGCGUCUGUAGGAAUCAUCAUCAUCAUAUCGUACCCGACCUCAAAGGGGACUCGGUAAAAAUGUACCCGGCCAUCAUAAGGCUCGGUAGAAUCGUACCCGGCCACGUGGAGCUCAGUAAAUCCAACUGAUCAGUGGUUACACAAUAGAUGUCGUACCCGGCCUACUAUAGUGCGGCUCGGUAGAGUAAAAUAGAUAUUAUAUAUAAUGCAUGCUAAACUCAUGGAAUCACGUUCUAAACCUUUUUGGAGUGACUUAAGGUCGUUGCACCUUCGAUUAACAUUAUGGACAUCAUACCAUCAAUAUGAUCUUCUAUAGGAUUCAAGGAUCAUACAUACUUGCUUAGAAUAACUUUAUAAGGAAAGAACAACAUGGGCAACCUUAGUUUCUAUGAGUAGAUCUGUUAUGAAAUAACGUAUUCAUUUCACUUUAGAUCAUGCCAAACGAAAGAGGGAAGUGCAUUAACAUACCUUAACCAUGGUGAGUCCUUAAUAUCUCUCAAGCAACUCUUCAAACAACUCAACUCAAUCUACCAUUGCAUAAGGAGAUUCAAAAUCAGUGUUGAAUAAAGGCUAAGUUUGCAACUUAAACUUGUAGCUCAUUUAUAUAAAUUCGGGCAGCAUCUCCCCUGUAACAAGAGCCUCCUCCAAUANNNNNNNNNNNNNNNNNNNNNNNNNNNNNNNNNNNNNNNNNNNNNNNNNNNNNNNNNNNNNNNNNNNNNNNNNNNNNNNNNNNNNNNNNNNNNNNNNNNNNNNNNNNNNNNNNNNNNNNNNNNNNNNNNNNNNNNNNNNNNNNNNNNNNNNNNNNNNNNNNNNNNNNNNNNNNNNNNNNNNNNNNNNNNNNNNAAUAACAAGACACCAUAAAAUAACAACAAGUCAUAACUAUUUUACGACGAGCGACAAGCUCCAAUUGGAAUUCGUAUAUCCCAUAUCAUCCUUUAUAGACUUUUUACUUUAAAUUAAUAGUAUUUUUAACAUGAUAAUGAGGUCAUUCAUCAAUAAUUCCAGCCUUAUACCAUAUAUCCACAACAAAGAAAAUAAUCCACAACUCCAAUUAUUCUUAAUUAACAACUUUAUUCACUAGUUCAUGUCUAGUUCAUCCAUUUAACUCAACCGAUGUCAAUAUAAUCUUAAGCACUUGUUGGAAAACAAUAUAAUAACCUCCUACAAGUCGAAAUCCAUGUUAUAGUUAGCUUACAACAGCCCAACACACCCCAAUCAAUUCAUACCAAAAAUAACGACUAUAGUAGUGUCCAAUACCCCGAAAAUAUUAUAAAGAAUGUCUAAUCCAUUAUUUCACCAAUAUGUGGUGUUUCUCCACACCGUUUAUCCUCCAAAAACUCCAUUAAAUAGCAGCAAAAUAUACAGCCCCAAAAACUACACGAAACAGCCCACAAAACAGUCCAUUACAAGUCAAAUAACUCGAACUCACGGCUUCCGAUCACCGUCCCGUGAGUUCUAAAUAUUAUGAAAUGAAUUAAUCAACCUUAAUUGAUAUUUAAGAUCUUGAAACCAGAAAUUAGGCAUUUUUAUUAACUUCAAAAUACCUUCCAAAACUCAAACUACAAAGAAAAAGAGAGGUUAUAUAGCAAUACUUACGUCGUGGGGAUCGUUCUUGUGUUAUUGCUUCGUAAUUUCGUGCCUCGGAUGAUAGUAUCGUUGAAAAUCCUUAUGGAGGACUUGAGGAUGAGUUUAGGGGUGUUAUAUGGUCGAGCUCUCUGGAAAACCAAAGUAAGAGACGAGAUAGAGAGAUAAACAUCCCUUUUUCUAAAAGUCAAAAAGGUGUCAUGUGCCACUCUCUCAUUGGCCCUUUUUCAAAAGCUUAUAUCAUUUUAUCCGGAUGUCGUAUGAACAAACGGUUAAGAGCGUUAGAAACUACAUUCCAAGACCUUCAAUUUGGUAUAUAAUAUGUCCCAAAAAGAUCUCAUAUAGCACACGGAAUAUAUUACUCAAAAAAACUCCAUUACAAGGCAAUUUCUUAGUCGAUUUUUCCGCAACUUAAAUCCGAUUUUUCUCAAACUUUAUACUUCAUAUUCAAACAUCAUAUAUAGUCAUAUAAUGUCUUUUAACUCGUUUAAAUCAUGAUUAAUAAGUCUUAUAUUCAUCUUAACUUGCGUAACACUUCGGCAAACCUUUCUUGUCCUUGUAGAAGGAUUUCAUCCUUUUUGAGUUUACAUUAGAUAAUCCUAUAAUGAUAGUAACAUCUGAAGUACGGGGUGUAACAACAUGUACCCUUAUAAACAUUUAUCCUUGAAUAUUAACUCUCAAAGGCUUCCAAAUAAAUAUGGGAUGUAACACCAUUAAAUCACUUUAUAUACUUUCCAAGAGGAUCUCAUUUCUGAACUUACAUCAACGGACUUACGACGUACUUUCACGUACAACAAUAUGGGUUGUAACAAGGGAUUUGAGUAGUUACAAACCAAAGGAGUAGAACAAGAAGAAGAGGGAGAAAUAGAUAAACUAGGAGGCAUUUUCAUGAAAACCUCUUCAUCAAGAUCCCCAUGUAAAAAGGCAUUAUUAACAUCAAGCUGGAACAAGGGGCAGUGUUGUUUGAUAGCCACAACAAUGAGGGUUUUCACAGUAGACAUUUUGACAACAGGAGAAAAGGUUUCAUAAAAAUCAACCCCUUCAACCUGAGUAUCAUCUCUAACUACUAACCUGGCCUUAUACCUCUCUAGAGUCCCAUUAACAUUAUAUUUUUACUUUCUAUACCCAUUUACAGCCUAUAAGCUUUUUACCAGGGGUAACUCAACAAUAUCCCAAGUUCUAUUAGCCUCCAAAGCCUCAAACUCCUUUCUCAUAGCCUCCUGCCACUCAGGGACAGCAACAACCUGUGAGUAAGUGUAAGGCUCAGGAAUAUGGAGCUGUGAAGUGGUUGCAUUGAAUGAUACAGACUCAGAGCUAGAAGAAACGGGGGCAGAAAGAGAAGUAGGAAGCAUUGAACAUACAAAGUCCCAAAGAUAGGCAGGGACAUUAUGAGCCUACUAGAUCUUCUAAGAGGAGGAUGAUCAGAUGAUGGAGUAGAAGAAAUAUGAGCAGGAGAGGAUAAAGGAGAAGUUGAAACAUCAGAAGAAAGAUCUGGAGUGAAAAUAGAAGGGGAAGGCAUAGGAAUAGAAGGAGAUAGAGAGGAAGUUGAAUCAGGAGAAAUAUGGGCAGGAAGAAUAGGCGGGGAAGAAUGACCAGGAAUAGAAGUAGGUAUAGAAGAUGUUGAAUCAUCAGAAAAGUGACCAGGAGAGAGAGGAGAAGGCAAGACAAGGGAUGGUGAAGGAGAAGGUUUAAGAAAUGGAAAAAUGUGUUCAUGGAAAAUUACAUCUCUGGAGACAAAACAAGAUUGAGUGGUGAGAUUGUAAAGUUUAUAACCCUUUUUGGCAAAAGGGUAGCCCAGAAAAACACAUGGGAUAGACCUGGGAUGAAAUUUAUCUCUAUAGAUUUUAGGCAUAGUGGAAUAGCAAAGGCAACCAAAAGAUCUAAGAUGGGAAUAUGUGGGGGCCUUGCCAAAAAGUAGUUCAUAAGGACUCUUGUUUUUGAGAAGGGGGGAAGGGAAUCUGUUUAUCAAAUAGGUGGCAGUAAGGAGACAGUCUCCCCAGAAUUUUAUAGGAAGAUAAGAUUGAAAUAAAAGAGCCCUAGUAGUUUCUGGCAAGUGUCUAUGUUUCCUCUUUACCACACCAUUUUGUUGUGGAAUGUGUGGGCAAGAGGUUUGAUGAAUAAUUCCCUUUUCAGAAAAGAAAAGGGACCCAGAAGAAGAAGAACCUAACUCUAAAGCAUUGUCACUCCUCACAGUCUGGACUCUAGUUUGAAAUUGUAUUUCAACCAUGGAAAUGAAGGCCUUCAAUAGGUCAAAAACAUUGCUUUUUGCCCCAUUAAGUGUGUCCAGGUAGCCCUAGUGUAGUCAUCUACUAUAGUAAGGAAAUACUUAGCACCAGAGUGAGUAGGAGUGGAGUAAGGACCCCAAGUAUCUAUGUGAACAAGCUGAAAGAAAUGAGUGGACUGAAUAGAACUAUCAUGAAAAGGAAGCCUAGUUUGUCUUGCUAAGGGGCAAAUAGGGCAUAUGAAGGACUGUUUAGAAGACAAAUCACUAAUAAUACCAGAAAUAAACUUCAUUUUGGAAAAUGUUAUAUGUCCAAGUCUAUAAUGCCAAACAACAUCAGAAUUAUUCACUUUAUUUGAAGCAACCAUGGUAUUUACAGAUGAAUCGUCAUUGACAUCAGUAGUAGAGACUACAGGUAAAGAAGAAACAGGCAAAGAAGAAACAACUGAAGAACAAUAGUUGACAUGAACAGGGUCAAUAGGUGAAGUCACAUGCUGAAAUAGCUUGUAAAGUCCAGUGUCCAGUCUACCAAGCACCACUGGCUUCUUCAUUGAAGGACCCUGGAAUGUGCAAGCAGACUUGGUAAACUGAACAACAUCAUCACAAUGAUUUAAAAGUUUUUGAACAGAUAUGAGAUUAUGAUUGAAACUGGGAAUGUAAAGAAUAUUAUGAAGGAUUAAAUUAGGGAAUAAAGCUAAAGAGCCAACAUUGGUGACUUUUACUUUAUACUCAUUUGGGAGAGACAUAAUAUAAGGAAUGGGAAGAGUGAUUAUAUCAAAAAGUAAACUUUUAAUGGAAGUCAUAUGAUCAGUAGCUCCGGAGUCUAUUAUCCAAACAAUGUCAUUCACACUAGAUAACAUACAAGUUCCAUAAGAGACACCCUCAUAAGGCAUGAGCUUACUAGCAAAGUUAGCAGAAGCAAAGAGAGGUGGAAAGUGUGGGGAAGCAUAAAUUUGGGAUUGUUGUAAUAAGGUCAUCAGCUGGGAGUAUUGAUCCCUAGUGAGGCUAGGUAUCACAGAAGACUCCUCAUGCUUAGCUGGACCAACAGAACUACCAGGCGCAGAAAAAACACCAGAAGAGUCAAGUUCAACAUGUGCAGCAGAUCUGCGAGGAGGAGGUCCUUUGCUAAACUUGAAAUUAGAAGGAUACCCAUGCAACUUAUAGCAUUUAUCUAUUGAGUGACCAGGCUUUUUGCAGUAUUUGUAGAUAAGAGAAUUCCUGGUGCCCUCAAAAGAAACCUUGGAGGGAAAUGAGGGCUUAGAAAUCCUAGCAUGAAAUGAAGCAGAUUGAGAUGAGAAUUGAGAGGUAGAAGACACUUGUCUUUGUUUUUCAUCAGAUAAUAUAAUACUGUACACAUUUCCAACAGAUGGAAGUGGCUUCAUCAUUAGAAUAUUGUUGCGAGUCUGCAUAUAGGUAUCAUUCAUAUCCAUAAGGAACUGAUAAACCUUCUGCUCUUCAUCCUCAGCAGCUUUCCCCCACAAGUACAAACUCUAACCUUAUAAGAUACUAUCUCAUCCCAGAGUUAUUUGAUUUUGUUGAAAUAAUAAGCUAUGUCUAAAGACCCUUGGGAAAUAUGAGCUAAUUCUUUCUUUAGUUCAAAGACUCUAGCCCCAUCACCCUUACCAUAUCUCUCUUCCAAUUCACACCAAAUUUUCUUGGCAGACUUAGAAUAUUCUAUGCUACGAGAUAUUUCUUUUGACAAAGAGUUGAUCAACCAUGAAACCACAAGAUCAUUACAUCUUUGCCACUGGCGUGCCAGAGGGGACCCAGGAAGUGGCUAUGUAGAGGAACCACUAAUAAAAUCAAGCUUAUUCCGAAUGGAGAGAGCAACUAAAAUGUUUCUCCUCCAGCUGCCAUAGCAGGUGCCAUCAAACGGACUAGAAACCAAAGAGGUUCCUAGUACAUCUGAUGGAUGCACAUAUAGAGGAUGACAAGGAUGCGUAAAAUCAUCCUCAUGAAACACAGUACGAGGUGCAAUGGAUGAAGAGGAAGGCGUAAUGACAGGAUUAUCAUUCGUCAUCGAGAGAAUAUAGAACAACAAACACAAUAGCCAACAAAGUUAUGAAAUAUGAAGAAGAAACUAAUUUACCUCCCUCUUUUGCAACCGAAAAGAGAACAACCUUGUGAAAAGAAGAAGAAACUUCCGGCGGCGCAAAAAUUGAUGAAGAAACCCUAGCUCGAAUUAGACGAACAAAUCAGUCAACUCCAGUCAAACUCCAGUCAAUACAUCCAUCGAAGACAAAGAUCCAGUGAAAAUAAGCAAAAUAUAUCCCGAAAUUUUCCAGCUAAUUCGGCCAAAACCCUAAUCCAGCAUAAAUGCAACGAAAAUCCAAAAGUUGACGAAAACUGAGAUGGUUAACAUAGAUCGGAAGCAAACGAAGUGAUCUACCAGGAUCUACGCUCUGAUACCAUAUUAGAUGUUGAGAAUCUAGAGAAGAAAUGAAGAUUGGAGAAUGGCAUGUUGCAUUUGAGAGAAGCUUCGAGAAAGAGAAGAAAGG